AGUUCUGGACUGGAAAGAAAUGUAACUCAGUAAAAACUAUUUGCACAGAGGUGAUGGAAAAUAGGGCAAAAGUUAGUAUAAAAAAUCAGCGAACUUCAGGGAGACAAAAAAAUUUGGAUGGUUUAAAGAGGUGGAAUAACUUAAACAUGACAUAAGGCGAUGAAUCGAUUUUUCCCAGCCUAAGGUUUUCCUAGGCAUUGCUUAACCAUAAGUGAAAGUGAACAUGCAUGUUUGUUUCCCAAUUUUAAAAAUAACCUGUUAACUAGUUUUAUGUCUGUUUAACGAAAUUAAUGAGGCAUUCAACAUUUGCAAAUAAAAAAAAACCCUAAGUACAUGAUAUCUAAUGCAUAUAAAGGCCCUAAAAUAUAGUAUCUAAACGCAAUGGCAGUAACUCGAUUAUUAACUGAUUGUGAUUAUAGAAAUGGGCAAAAUAACAAGCUGAAAGUAAAAGACCUAGGAACAUGAUCAUGUAAGAUGCAUGUCCUAAACAUUGUGUCUAUUGCACAAAUAGGCAAGUAAAAUCUAUAAACAUGUUUUCUACCCAUUCACGUUAACUAAGCAUGCAUAACCCUCCCAAUUUCACUAUAAACCCCAUUUAUUUUUUACAAGUUAUUAUAGACCAAGUAAUUAAAUUUACAACAGUGAAAUAAAAAUAAGAAGUUAUUCUCUUGGGAGCCUUCAGCCAGGCCCAAAUCUCCAACCUCACUUUUUUUGAGUUUCACAUCCUUUACCAGGGUUUGGGUGCGGCAAAGUUCCCUAAGGGUACCUUUGAACCCCUGGCCAAUAUCAGGCACCCAAGACAAAUCAUCCUUGACAAGUGCAAGUGUGGAAUUGCAGACUUGUGCAUCAAAGUUCAGUGGGUGCUCAAGGCUCCCAAAAAAAUGCUUACACUAAGGGGACAUAACCUAAUUUCUAAGAAUAGUGAGAUUGUGAUAUAGUUUGAAGGAGUUGAAAACAGUUGAGAGAUAGUUUGAGAAAAACAGUUUGAGAAAAACAGUAAGAGUGAAAGAGUUCUUUUGAAAUUCAUUUGGGAUGACCAGUUUUGAAAAGAAAAUGUCAGACAAACAGGGGCAGGGGAAAGGGAACAAAUAAACUUAUAAACAAGCAAACAUACCAGGUAAAAGCCCAUUUAGAGAAAACAAACAUGUUUCAAACUAGGAGACUGGUUCUUACACAAAGGGUCACACAAACAAAGGGCAGGGGAAAGGGAACAAAUAAACUCAGAAACAAGCAAACAUACCAGAGAAAAGCUCUUUUAGAGAAAACGAACAUGUUUCAAACUAGGAGCCUGGUUCUUACAGCACCAGACCCCAACAAAGUCAACCUCAGGA
RNAcentral lists this long non-coding RNA (1331 nucleotides) under Nicotiana benthamiana. Its description in RNAcentral is "long non-coding RNA (NBEN_LNC031304)". Lineage: Eukaryota; Viridiplantae; Streptophyta; Magnoliopsida; Solanales; Solanaceae. The record is from RNAcentral.